CAGAAUGUUGUUGGGCCAUUUGUCCACUAGAUGGAGCUCUGACUCAUUUAAUCCUCAGUCCUCAUCACUUUUGAGUGGAGGUUGA
Molecule: long non-coding RNA, 85 nt
Organism: Melanotaenia boesemani (Boeseman's rainbowfish)
Lineage: Eukaryota; Metazoa; Chordata; Actinopteri; Atheriniformes; Melanotaeniidae
Exons: 3
Source: RefSeq, a predicted model, not a curated record